UACCUGCAGCUCGAGUGGUAACCGCUAUUAUUGGGCCUAAAGCGUCCGUAGCCGGUUUGGUAAAUAUCUGGGUAAAUCGUGAGGCUUAACUUCACGAAUUUCGGAUAGACUGCCAGACUUGGGAUCGGGGGAGGUCAGAGGUACUCCAGGGGUAGCGGUGAAAUGUUGUAAUCCUUGGAGGACCACCGGUAGCGAAGGCGUCUGACUAGAACGAGUCCGACGGCGAGGGACGAAGCCCUGGGGCGCAAACCGGAUUAGAUACCCGGGUAGUCCAGGGUGUAAACGAUGUGGGCUUUGUAUUGGAGGUCCCACGUGGGCGUCCAGUGCAGAAGAGAAGUUGUUAAGCCCACCGCCUGGGAAGUACGGUCGCAAGGCUGAAACUUAAAGGAAUUGGGCGGGGGAGCACAGCGAACGGGAGGAGCGUGCGGUUU
Molecule: ribosomal RNA, 431 nt
Filed under: uncultured archaeon
Lineage: Archaea
Description: bacterial SSU rRNA
Rfam family: Archaeal small subunit ribosomal RNA
Source: RNAcentral